GCUGUUGUCAAAAACACUCAAAUGAGCACGAUUCAGUCAGUAGACGGUGGGAAAAGAGGACACAGUUCUUCGAGAAAUCACUAAAUGCUCAAUUAGGUAUCACGAAAAAGCGCUACGAAAAAUAAACGGAUAAAAAGGCUCCUAAACUAGAGGAAAAGCAAAAGGUAGGGCGGGCAAAACGCAUCUUCAUUAUCACGGGCACUAGACUAGCAAACGCAGAAAUGAGAGAGAAGAUCGCAACUUCACAAAUUGUCAUCCAGAGAGCGCCUGAAGUUGCUCAGCAGGUUGCUGUCCUCCCAGGCGCCUAUGGAGGCAUCAUAACAUAAAGGCGACUGUACAAUCAUGUCAUGUAUUGUAUCACCAUAGAGAAAAUACAGUAUUUCUGGUAUUUCACUGUAUUUUCUCUAUGUUGUAUCACAGGCAUAGGUGUGAAGAGUGAAGAGUGCGGAAAGACUCUUGCGAUGGUUUAUUACUAUUUCUCACAAUUGUUCUAAAUUGUUCCAGUGAUUUUAAUAAUACCUGUCCUCCGGAUCGAGUGUGCGGAGAAUACAUUUGACGAUUCGGAAAGACAUUGAGCACGAAGGGAAAAGUACCUGUGAUAAUGGAGAGUGAAGAAACAGACCAUGUUGAAAAUAACGGUGUCGAUGACCCUCAAGAACCAACGGAUGAUGUUAGUGAAACUAAUGAAACUGACACUAUUGCUAAAACAAGAGCUUCCACCCGCCCGAAGAGAAACUGCACUGUAGAAUCUCCAACUAACCAAAAGAAAAAGGACGUGGAAGAGGUCGAGGGAAGAAAAUUCCCGCAGCCGCUGACAAUGAAGUCCUCAAAAAUGAUGAGCAGAAACCGAUAGACAACGGUGAAAGUCAGAAAGAAUCAAAUGCUGGUGAAGAGCCAUAUGACCCUCAUGAAGUUGAUGAUCAAUUUUCUGAUGCAGCUGAACCGGAAAAUAAAGAGGAAGAACAACUACACCAGAAGUGAAAUCUGAAAAGGUUUGCACACAGUAUUAACGUUCAAUAAACUAGUUUCAUGGGAAGGAAGAUCAAAACUCGUCUGCCCCUUUGACAUUUGUCAACACAAAUAGAGGCAUUUUCGAAUUUGGAAGUGUUCUUCCUGUUUCUCUGUCUUCCUUUCCUUAAAUUAUCUGCAACUAUGCAGACAUUGAAUCAGAAGAUUCGAAAAUUUUCAUUGUGUGGACUAGUCGGAGAUUUUCCAAUGAAGUUUAUGAGUAACUAUUUUUUUGCAUUGACAAGUUAGGAUUGGUCAGAGAAUUUCAGAUCCAAAAACUCAUAAAAUCCCAACAUUUAUCAUGGCCUCUUUCUUUUCUGAGUUUUGUGUUUUUCAAUACUUUUAUGAAUUAAUCUUCUUUUAAAAGUUUA
This 1379-nucleotide long non-coding RNA is filed under the name Bemisia tabaci. Its description in RNAcentral is "lncRNA ENSSSA3NGG008344". Lineage: Eukaryota; Metazoa; Arthropoda; Insecta; Hemiptera; Aleyrodidae. The record is from RNAcentral.